This 496-nucleotide ribosomal RNA is filed under the name uncultured bacterium. RNAcentral's name for it is "partial 16S ribosomal RNA". It matches the Rfam family "Bacterial small subunit ribosomal RNA", at positions 29 to 507 of the family's 1533-position model. The record is from RNAcentral.
AUGAACGCUGGCGGCGUGCCUAAUACAUGCAAGUCGAGCGAACAGACGAGGAGCUUGCUCCUCUGACGUUAGCGGCGGACGGGUGAGUAACACGUGGAUAACCUACCUAUAAGACUGGGAUAACUUCGGGAAACCGGAGCUAAUACCGGAUAAUAUAUUGAACCGCAUGGUUCAAUAGUGAAAGACGGUUUUGCUGUCACUUAUAGAUGGAUCCGCGCCGCAUUAGCUAGUUGGUAAGGUAACGGCUUACCAAGGGAACGAUGCGUAGCCGACCUGAGAGGGUGAUCGGCCACACUGGAACUGAGACACGGUCCAGACUCCUACGGGAGGCAGCAGUAGGGAAUCUUCCGCAAUGGGCGAAAGCCUGACGGAGCAACGCCGCGUGAGUGAUGAAGGUCUUCGGAUCGUAAAACUCUGUUAUUAGGGAAGAACAAAUGUGUAAGUAACUAUGCACGUCUUGACGGUACCUAAUCAGAAAGCCACGGCUAACUACGUG